This 460-nucleotide ribosomal RNA is filed under the name uncultured bacterium. RNAcentral describes it as "partial 16S ribosomal RNA". It matches the Rfam family "Bacterial small subunit ribosomal RNA", at positions 338 to 795 of the family's 1533-position model. The record is from RNAcentral.
CCUACGGGUGGCAGCAGUGAGGAAUAUUGGUCAAUGGCCGGAAGCCUGAACCAGCCAAGUCGCGUGAAGGAAGAAGGCUCUAUGGUUUUUAAACUUCUUUUAUAGGGGAAUAAAGGUAUCCACGUGUGGAUAUUUGCAUGUACCCUAUGAAUAAGCAUCGGCUCACUCCGUGCCAGCAGCCGCGGUAAUACGGAGGAUGCGAGCGUUAUCCGGAUUUAUUGGGUUUAAAGGGUGCGUAGGUUGUUUGUUAAGUCAGCGGUGAAAGUUUGUGGCUCAACCAUACAAUUGCCGUUGAAACUGGAAGACUUGAGUGUGUUUAAGGUAGGCGGAAUGCGUGGUGUAGCGGUGAAAUGCAUAGAUAUCACGAAGAACUCCGAUUGCGAAGGCAGCUUACUAGGCCAUAACUGACACUGAAGCACGAAAGCGUGGGGAUCAAACAGGAUUAGAUACCCUAGUAGUC